AUCCAUCUGACGAGUCCCAAAUAAGACAAAACGCGUGUCAAACUAGAU
Molecule: non-coding RNA, 48 nt
Organism: Schistosoma rodhaini
Lineage: Eukaryota; Metazoa; Platyhelminthes; Trematoda; Strigeidida; Schistosomatidae
Source: Rfam